UACGUAGGGUGCAAGCGUUGUCCGGAAUUAUUGGGCGUAAAGAGCGUGUAGGCGGCCCGAUUAGUCCGCUGUGAAAGUCCAGGGCUUAACCCUGGAAUGCCGGUGGAAACUGUCGGGCUAGAGUCCGGAAGGGGCGAGUGGAAUUCCUGGUGUAGCGGUGAAAUGCGCAGAUAUCAGGAGGAACACCAAUGGCGAAGGCAGCUCGCUGGGACGUGACUGACGCUGAGACGCGAAAGCGUGGGGAGCAAACAGG
This 253-nucleotide ribosomal RNA is filed under the name uncultured bacterium. RNAcentral describes it as "partial 16S ribosomal RNA". It matches the Rfam family "Bacterial small subunit ribosomal RNA", at positions 524 to 776 of the family's 1533-position model. The record is from RNAcentral.